GUCGAGCGGACAGAUGGGAGCUUGCUCCCUGAUGUUAGCGGCGGACGGGUGAGUAACACGUGGGUAACCUGCCUGUAAGACUGGGAUAACUCCGGGAAACCGGGGCUAAUACCGGAUGGUUGUUUGAACCGCAUGGUUCAGACAUAAAAGGUGGCUUCGGCUACCACUUACAGAUGGACCCGCGGCGCAUUAGCUAGUUGGUGAGGUAACGGCUCACCAAGGCGACGAUGCGUAGCCGACCUGAGAGGGUGAUCGGCCACACUGGGACUGAGACACGGCCCAGACUCCUACGGGAGGCAGCAGUAGGGAAUCUUCCGCAAUGGACGAAAGUCUGACGGAGCAACGCCGCGUGAGUGAUGAAGGUUUUCGGAUCGUAAAGCUCUGUUGUUAGGGAAGAACAAGUGCCGUUCAAAUAGGGCGGCACCUUGACGGUACCUAACCAGAAAGCCACGGCUAACUACGUGCCAGCAGCCGCGGUAAUACGUAGGUGGCAAGCGUUGUCCGGAAUUAUUGGGCGUAAAGGGCUCGCAGGCGGUUUCUUAAGUCUGAUGUGAAAGCCCCCGGCUCAACCGGGGAGGGUCAUUGGAAACUGGGGAACUUGAGUGCAGAAGAGGAGAGUGGAAUUCCACGUGUAGCGGUGAAAUGCGUAGAGAUGUGGAGGAACACCAGUGGCGAAGGCGACUCUCUGGUCUGU
This 694-nucleotide ribosomal RNA is filed under the name Bacillus sp. LT81. RNAcentral's name for it is "bacterial SSU rRNA". It matches the Rfam family "Bacterial small subunit ribosomal RNA", at positions 61 to 737 of the family's 1533-position model. Lineage: Bacteria; Bacillati; Bacillota; Bacilli; Caryophanales; Bacillaceae. The record is from RNAcentral.